RNAcentral lists this ribosomal RNA (459 nucleotides) under uncultured bacterium. RNAcentral's name for it is "partial 16S ribosomal RNA". It matches the Rfam family "Bacterial small subunit ribosomal RNA", at positions 338 to 795 of the family's 1533-position model. The record is from RNAcentral.
CCUACGGGAGGCAGCAGUGAGGAAUAUUGGUCAAUGGCCGAGAGGCUGAACCAGCCAAGUAGCGUGAGGGAAGACAGCCCUAUGGGUUUUAAACUUCUUUUAUCAGGGAGCAAAGCGCGUCACGUGUGAGGCAUUGAGAGUACCUGAUGAAUAAGCAUCGGCUAAUUCCGUGCCAGCAGCCGCGGUAAUACGGAGGAUGCGAGCGUUAUCCGGAUUUAUUGGGUUUAAAGGGUGCGGAGGCGGAUGAGUAAGUCAGCGGUAAAAUUGUGGGGCUCAACCCCGUAGUGCCGUUGAAACUGUGGCACUUGAGUGUGCGAGAGGUACAUGGAAUGCGUGGUGUAGCGGUGAAAUGCAUAGAUAGCACGAAGAACUCCGAUGGCGAAGGCAGUAUACCGGCGCGAAACUGACGCUGAGGCACGAAAGCGUGGGUAUCGAACAGGAUUAGAUACCCUAGUAGUC